This 787-nucleotide long non-coding RNA is filed under the name Mus musculus (house mouse). RNAcentral's name for it is "Hand2, opposite strand 1". The record is from RNAcentral. Lineage: Eukaryota; Metazoa; Chordata; Mammalia; Rodentia; Muridae.
ACACUUUGGCAAAGUUGCAGUGGCCUGUUUGCUUAGGCACUGAAGUGGAUGACCCAAGUUAGGAUGACAACUUGCAGAGAACGCGGAUGAGACCUUCAGUUUGUGCCCACACUCAUUUGCAGCAACCCUAACAGAGAUUGCGAAGAUUUUCAAAGUGGGGCACCUCGAUUUCUCGAAUCUGUGGUGUGGCGAAUAUCCGUGUUCCUCCUGCUUAACUAGCCUGUUUGAAGGCACAGUUCAUUCUCGAGCAAUUCGUCACCUCCUGGGGGUCUUCUCUUCCCGUCUACAGGAGAGUGUGACUUCAGAAAGAACUUCGGAUUGGCCAAGGCCAUUAAAGCUGGUGAGCGACUUGGAAGUCAUUUAGAAAGGAACAGACCUUCAACCUCAAGCCUUUGCGGGCACUGGGAAAGUGUCUUCCCAAUCAAUCUGGCUUGCAGGCGGCAGGACCAACUCUGACCUGGCUUAUCUUGUACCCAUCCUAAAUACACCAAACUCAAGAGGUAGCCAGGGCCGCCUCAACACCGAGGUCUGAUUCUAUUUAUUCUAAAGACAGAGUUGGAGAUGGGCUACCAUUGGUGUUGAUUGAGAUGACAAGCAGUCACCUGAGCCCAUACAGCUGUGGGAGAAAGUGCUUGCUGCCAAGCUUGAUGACCUAAAUUGAAUACCUGGAACCUACACGACAGAAAGAGAGAGCUGACUGCUGAAAGAUGUCCUCAGAUCUUCACAUGUGCACAGUGGCACCUAUCCAACCAUGCACAUAGUAUAUUAAAAAUUAUUUUUUAAAAAA